GGCUGUUUGGUUGCCUCUUAAUGGCUCCAUUAAGAGGUUUGGCCUCUGAAUCGGUCAGACAUGGGGUGUUUGAUUCACCAAAUAACAACCUCUGAAUGAAACCAUUCAGAUCUGAAUGGUUCAGCACAUUUCAACAUCUGAAUGGAACAUUGGACUUGUAUACCCUUGCCCAAGAAAACAAUCUGCCACUCCCCCCUUUCUUCUCCACAGCCGUCCCCUCAACAACCGCCUCCUCCAUAGCCACCUCCGGCCCCCUCCACAACCGCCUCCUCCACAGCCGCCCCCUUUCUUCUCCAGCGGCGAUGUUUGGUGUUUUCCGGCGAAAAGUCGUUAGCGGAAGCUCUUCUGCUUCGGUAAGCCUUGAUCUCACAUCUAGUGUUUUGCUCAAACAAGAAUCAAGAACAUCAAUCAUCAACGAGAUGAAGAUGAAAGUGGAGAAAUAUAAUGGAGUCUGGAGUUGCAGAGCUAUACGAAUUUUGUAUUGAUUGUCGAUUCCAUCACAUAUUGGGGAAAAUUGAAAUGUUUACUGAAUUUAUUUUUUUACCUAAAUUUUAUCUUUACAAGUCAAAAUGAAUGAUUAAUUGAUAAUGAUAAUUAACUGCUACAAUUUUGUAUAAUCAUAUACUGGUUUAGACUCGAUUUAAUGUAGUUAAAUGAUGUUUAA
Molecule: long non-coding RNA, 664 nt
Organism: Helianthus annuus (common sunflower)
Lineage: Eukaryota; Viridiplantae; Streptophyta; Magnoliopsida; Asterales; Asteraceae
Exons: 2
Source: RefSeq, a predicted model, not a curated record